AUUGAACGCUGGCGGCAUGCUUAAUACAUGCAAGUCGAGCGGAAGCGCGAGCUGCUUGCUUCCCGCAUGUGAGCGACGGGCGAGUGAUUAAUACGAACGUACCCUGCAGUUGGGACUAGGCUGACGAAGGGCGACUUAAGAUCGCACCGGAUCUGAUUGUGAAAGCGAGGGUUCAAAAGGGCAAGCGGUUUUUGAUGUCCCGUAUAGAUGGAUGCGCGUUGCAUUAGCUAGUUGGUACGGUAACGGCUUACCAAGGCGACGAUGCGUAGCCGACCUGAGAGGACGAUCAGCCACACUGGAACUGAGACACGGUCCAGACUCCUACGGGAGGCAGCAGUGGGGAAUUUUGGACAAUGGGCGCAACCCUGACCGAGCAACGCCGCGUGCGUGAAGAAGGCCUUCGGAUCGUAAACCGCUUUUGUUAGGGAAGAAAAUAUCUGUGCUAAUCCGUCGGCGUGAUGACGGUACCGGAAGAAAAAGCACCGGCUAACUACGUG
RNAcentral lists this ribosomal RNA (497 nucleotides) under uncultured bacterium. RNAcentral's name for it is "partial 16S ribosomal RNA". It matches the Rfam family "Bacterial small subunit ribosomal RNA", at positions 30 to 507 of the family's 1533-position model. The record is from RNAcentral.